CGGAGUCUUGUCUUGGCGUCCUUCCUUUCUCUCUGCCCCAUCUCCACCCCGCUGCUCUUUCAGGUUUGAGACACUGCUGGACAGUGCUCUGCGUCGCCGGCUCGCGACAUCCACGUGCCUGCAUUUGUGUGCAUGUGUGGGACUUUCCGUACACGUCUGUGUGUGCGUGUGUGUGUGACUCCCUUGACUGACACGGCAGCCCUGGGACAGCCCUAUCCCCAGCCCUCCCUAGGCCCAGGCAGCCCCUUGCAUAGGAGCCGCAAGUGCGAAGCCCCCACAGGGCAGCGCACGUCCUGAGCCGGCCGCAUCCCAGCUGGUCCCUCCCUCACCCUGCAGUGUAGGCGAUGACCCAUUUCCUUUCAUUUUGCCUUUUGGAUUCUCUUGUUUUCUUCUCCCUUUCCUCUAUUGGUAUGUGCCUGAGCUACAUAAACAAGCACACGCAUGUGCGGAACUGGUGCACCUAUAGCAUCUGGACGCUUUUACUUCCUCCAUCCCGUCUCCCCAUCUCCACCGGACCCGCUUUUGAAACGGAGGAACCAAGGCUCUGGAGAGGAGGAGCUCCUUCCGUCAUAUUCAUGUUUGCGCUCAGCGAACUCUCCAGCCCUGCUCCAUCAGCCUUGUUCCGGGAGGUUUCCGGGGUGCUCCUGCCCUCAGUCAGCUCUGCUUCCAGAUCUGCGGCCCAGGCCAGCACCCCUGACCCUGCUGGCUGGGUCCCCGUCACCCACCCCCUCUCAGAGCAAGGAAACUGAGGCUGAGCAGGGAGCGAGGAAAGACCUGUUUCUUAUGACUGCACACACGAGCAAGGUGUUCUGACUGCACCUCACAGAAGAGUAAACGGAGGCUGGGCGCUCUCCUAGCACUUGCCCCACGUAUAAGCUGGUAAGAAGUGAAGCUGACCCCGGGGCUAAAUUUAAGUCAAGACCAAAACACGUGGGCGAUCACAGACCUGCUCUGCCAGUAUUGUCUUCGCACUGGUGAGUACAGCACCCUCACGAUCCAGUCACCUUCCAAAGCUGCACUUGGACCACCUGCGGUCUUUGGGGAAUACCUUGACUCAACCAUGACAACGAGCCAGUUACUCCAGGCUAUAAGGAGGGGUACGGCCCUCAGGGGUUUGAGGACCCAGGAGGGCCGUGCACACAGCCCCCAGCUGGCAGUGUCCACAUGCCCCUCCUGUGGCUGCAUCGCAACCCCU
Molecule: long non-coding RNA, 1195 nt
Filed under: Fukomys damarensis (Damara mole-rat)
Lineage: Eukaryota; Metazoa; Chordata; Mammalia; Rodentia; Bathyergidae
Description: lncRNA (ENSFDAG00000032683.1)
Source: RNAcentral